GAUGAACGCUGGCGGCGUGCCUAAUACAUGCAAGUCGAGCGAACGGACGAGAGGCUUGCUUCUCUGAUGUUAGCGGCGGACGGGUGAGUAACACGUGGAUAACCUACCUAUAAGACUGGGAUAACUUCGGGAAACCGGAGCUGAUACCGGAUGAUAUUUUGAACCGCAUGGUUCAAAAGUGAAAGACGGUCUUGCUGUCACUUAUAGAUGGAUCCGCGCUGCAUUAGCUAGUUGGUAAGGUAACGGCUUACCAAGGCAACGAUGCAUAGCCGACCUGAGAGGGUGGUCGGCCACACUGGAGCUGCGACACGGUCCAGACUACUACGGGAGGCAGCAGUAGGGAAUCUUCCGCAAUGGGCGAAAGCCUGACGGAGCAACGCCGCGUGAGUGAUGAAGGUCUUCGGAUCGUAAAACUCUGUUAUUAGGGAAGAACAUAUGUGUAAGUAACUGUGCACAUCUUGACGGUACCUAAUCAGAAAGCCACGGCUAACUACGUG
Molecule: ribosomal RNA, 497 nt
Filed under: uncultured bacterium
Lineage: Bacteria
Description: partial 16S ribosomal RNA
Rfam family: Bacterial small subunit ribosomal RNA
Source: RNAcentral